AGCAGUGACAGCACGCUGACAUGAAGACAGCUGUGAGCUCCUCCUCCUUCAUCAUGUACGAUAAAGGGAGAUCUCCCAUCACUGAGUUUUCAUUUAUGUCUUUGCUCCUCUCUGUGUGAAAUGUCUCUCAUUUUGUUUCUCUCUCUCUCUCUGCUCUCAGACUUUGUGUUCUCCCUCACGAUCAAACAAACGCCCGUAAACCAGCUGAUAAAACCUGAACAAGA
This is a non-coding RNA of Labrus bergylta (ballan wrasse), 224 nucleotides long. The record is from RefSeq and is a predicted model, not a curated record. NCBI's taxonomy places the organism in Eukaryota, Metazoa, Chordata, Actinopteri, Labriformes, Labridae.